GCCCAAGCCUAAACCUUGGCCUAAGCCUAAGCCUAAGCCUAAGCCUAAGCCUAAGCCUAAGCCUAAGCCUAAGCCUAAGCCUAAGCCUAAGCCUAAGCCUAAGCCAAAGC
Molecule: non-coding RNA, 110 nt
Organism: Caenorhabditis elegans
Lineage: Eukaryota; Metazoa; Nematoda; Chromadorea; Rhabditida; Rhabditidae
Source: Ensembl